Molecule: ribosomal RNA, 506 nt
Filed under: uncultured bacterium
Lineage: Bacteria
Description: partial 16S ribosomal RNA
Rfam family: Bacterial small subunit ribosomal RNA
Source: RNAcentral
GAUGAACGCUAGCUACAGGCUUAACACAUGCAAGUCGAGGGGUAACGAGAGGAAAGCUUGCUUUCCUUGUCGACGACCGGCGCACGGGUGAGUAACGAGUAUCCAACCUGCCCCCAACUAGGGAAUAACCUUGCGAAAGUAAGACUAAUACCCUAUAAUUUCCUCAGAUGUCAUAUGACGAGGACUAAAGAUUUAUCGGUUGUGGAUGGGGAUGCGUCUGAUUAGCUUGUUGGCGGGGUAACGGCCCACCAAGGCAACGAUCAGUAGGGGUUCUGAGAGGAAGGUCCCCCACAUUGGAACUGAGACACGGUCCAAACUCCUACGGGAGGCAGCAGUGAGGAAUAUUGGUCAAUGGGCGGAAGCCUGAACCAGCCAAGUAGCGUGCAGGAUGACGGCCCUAUGGGUUGUAAACUGCUUUUAUACAGGAAUAAAGUUAGCCACGUGUGGUUAUUUGUAGGUACUGUAUGAAUAAGGACCGGCUAAUUCCGUGCCAGCCGCCGCCGUAA